Molecule: ribosomal RNA, 253 nt
Filed under: uncultured bacterium
Lineage: Bacteria
Description: partial 16S ribosomal RNA
Rfam family: Bacterial small subunit ribosomal RNA
Source: RNAcentral
UACAGAGGGGGCAAGCGUUGUUCGGAAUUACUGGGCGUAAAGGGCGCGUAGGCGGCUUUUCAAGUCGGGCGUGAAAUCUCCGGGCUUAACCCGGAAGGGUCGUUCGAUACUGUUGAGCUAGAGUGUGGAAGAGGCAACUAGAAUUCCGUGUGUAGCGGUGAAAUGCGUAGAUAUACGGAGGAAUACCUGAGGCGAAGGCGGGUUGCUGGGCCAACACUGACGCUGAGGCGCGAAAGCCAGGGGAGCAAACGGG